GAUGAACGCUGGCGGCGUGCCUAAUACAUGCAAGUCGAGCGAACGGACGAGAAGCUUGCUUCUCUGAUGUUAGCGGCGGACGGGUGAGUAACACGUGGAUAACCUACCUAUAAGACUGGGAUAACUUCGGGAAACCGUAGCUAAUACCGGAUAAUAUUUUGAACCGCAUGGUUCAAAAGUGAAAGACGGUCUUGCUGUCACUUAUAGAUGGAUCCGCGCUGCAUUAGCUAGUUGGUAAGGUAACGGCUUACCAAGGCAACGAUGCAUAGCCGACCUGAGAGGGUGAUCGGCCACACUGGAACUGAGACACGGUCCAGACUCCUACGGGAGGCAGCAGUAGGGAAUCUUCCGCAAUGGGCGAAAGCCUGACGGAGCAACGCCGCGUGAGUGAUGAAGGUCUUCGGAUCGUAAAACUCUGUUAUUAGGGAAGAACAUAUGUGUAAGUAACUGUGCACAUCUUGACGGUACCUAAUCAGAAAGCCACGGCUAACUACGUGCCAGCAGCCGCGGUAAUACGUAGGUGGCAAGCGUUAUCCGGAAUUAUUGGGCGUAAAGCGCGCGUAGGCGGUUUUUUAGUCUGAUGUGAAAGCCCACGGCUCAACCGUGGAGGGUCAUUGGAAACUGGAAAACUUGAGUGCAGAAGAGGAAAGUGGAAUUCCAUGUGUAGCGGUGAAAUGCGCAGAGAUAUGGAGGAACACCAGUGGCGAAGGCGACUUUCUGGUCUGUAACUGACGCUGAUGUGCGAAAGCGUGGGGAUCAAACAGGAUUAGAUACCCUGGUAGUCCACGCCGUAAACGAUGAGUGCUAAGUGUUAGGGGGUUUCCGCCCCUUAGUGCUGCAGCUAACGCAUUAAGCACUCCGCCUGGGGAGUACGACCGCAAGGUUGAAACUCAAAGGAAUUGACGGGGACCCGCACAAGCGGUGGAGCAUGUGGUUUAAUUCGAAGCAACGCGAAGAACCUUACCAAAUCUUGACAUCCUUUGACAACUCUAGAGAUAGAGCCUUCCCCUUCGGGGGACAAAGUGACAGGUGGUGCAUGGUUGUCGUCAGCUCGUGUCGUGAGAUGUUGGGUUAAGUCCCGCAACGAGCGCAACCCUUAAGCUUAGUUGCCAUCAUUAAGUUGGGCACUCUAAGUUGACUGCCGGUGACAAACCGGAGGAAGGUGGGGAUGACGUCAAAUCAUCAUGCCCCUUAUGAUUUGGGCUACACACGUGCUACAAUGGACAAUACAAAGGGCAGCGAAACCGCGAGGUCAAGCAAAUCCCAUAAAGUUGUUCUCAGUUCGGAUUGUAGUCUGCAACUCGACUACAUGAAGCUGGAAUCGCUAGUAAUCGUAGAUCAGCAUGCUACGGUGAAUACGUUCCCGGGUCU
Molecule: ribosomal RNA, 1371 nt
Filed under: uncultured bacterium
Lineage: Bacteria
Description: bacterial SSU rRNA
Rfam family: Bacterial small subunit ribosomal RNA
Source: RNAcentral